Molecule: microRNA precursor, 207 nt
Filed under: Oryza sativa Japonica Group (Japanese rice)
Lineage: Eukaryota; Viridiplantae; Streptophyta; Magnoliopsida; Poales; Poaceae
Description: MIR812 microRNA precursor family
Rfam family: MIR812 microRNA precursor family
Source: Rfam by way of RNAcentral
AAUAAGUGCAGCCAUAGAAAUCCGUGUCCAACGUUUGACCGUCCGUCUUAUUUGAAAAAUUUAUGAAAAAUUUAAAAAAAUUUAGUCACACAUAAAGUACUAUUCAUGUUUUAUCAUCUAAUAACAAUAAAAAUAGUAAUCAUAAAAAAUUUCAAAUAAAACGAAUGGUCAAACGUUGGAGAUGAAUAGUGUAAAAUUACACUUAUU